UUAAGCGACUAAGCGUACACGGUGGAUGCCCUGGCAGUCAGAGGCGAUGAAGGACGUGCUAAUCUGCGAUAAGCGUCGGUAAGGUGAUAUGAACCGUUAUAACCGGCGAUUUCCGAAUGGGGAAACCCAGUGUGUUUCGACACACUAUCAUUAACUGAAUCCAUAGGUUAAUGAGGCGAACCGGGGGAACUGAAACAUCUAAGUACCCCGAGGAAAAGAAAUCAACCGAGAUUCCCCCAGUAGCGGCGAGCGAACGGGGAGGAGCCCAGAGCCUGAAUCAGUGUGUGUGUUAGUGGAAGCGUCUGGAAAGGCGCGCGAUACAGGGUGACAGCCCCGUACACAAAAAUGCACAUGCUGUGAGCUCGAUGAGUAGGGCGGGACACGUGGUAUCCUGUCUGAAUAUGGGGGGACCAUCCUCCAAGGCUAAAUACUCCUGACUGACCGAUAGUGAACCAGUACCGUGAGGGAAAGGCGAAAAGAACCCCGGCGAGGGGAGUGAAAAAGAACCUGAAACCGUGUACGUACAAGCAGUGGGAGCACAGAGCAAUCUGUGUGACUGCGUACCUUUUGUAUAAUGGGUCAGCGACUUAUAUUCUGUAGCAAGGUUAACCGAAUAGGGGAGCCGAAGGGAAACCGAGUCUUAACUGGGCGUUAAGUUGCAGGGUAUAGACCCGAAACCCGGUGAUCUAGCCAUGGGCAGGUUGAAGGUUGGGUAACACUAACUGGAGGACCGAACCGACUAAUGUUGAAAAUUAGCGGAUGACUUGUGGCUGGGGGUGAAAGGCCAAUCAAACCGGGAGAUAGCUGGUUCUCCCCGAAAGCUAUUUAGGUAGCGCCUCGUGAAUUCAUCUCCGGGGGUAGAGCACUGUUUCGGCAAGGGGGUCAUCCCGACUUACCAACCCGAUGCAAACUGCGAAUACCGGAGAAUGUUAUCACGGGAGACACACGGCGGGUGCUAACGUCCGUCGUGAAGAGGGAAACAACCCAGACCGCCAGCUAAGGUCCCAAAGUCAUGGUUAAGUGGGAAACGAUGUGGGAAGGCCCAGACAGCCAGGAUGUUGGCUUAGAAGCAGCCAUCAUUUAAAGAAAGCGUAAUAGCUCACUGGUCGAGUCGGCCUGCGCGGAAGAUGUAACGGGGCUAAACCAUGCACCGAAGCUGCGGCAGCGACACUGUGUGUUGUUGGGUAGGGGAGCGUUCUGUAAGCCUGUGAAGGUGUGCUGUGAGGCAUGCUGGAGGUAUCAGAAGUGCGAAUGCUGACAUAAGUAACGAUAAAGCGGGUGAAAAGCCCGCUCGCCGGAAGACCAAGGGUUCCUGUCCAACGUUAAUCGGGGCAGGGUGAGUCGACCCCUAAGGCGAGGCCGAAAGGCGUAGUCGAUGGGAAACAGGUUAAUAUUCCUGUACUUGGUGUUACUGCGAAGGGGGGACGGAGAAGGCUAUGUUGGCCGGGCGACGGUUGUCCCGGUUUAAGCGUGUAGGCUGGUUUUCCAGGCAAAUCCGGAAAAUCAAGGCUGAGGCGUGAUGACGAGGCACUACGGUGCUGAAGCAACAAAUGCCCUGCUUCCAGGAAAAGCCUCUAAGCAUCAGGUAACAUCAAAUCGUACCCCAAACCGACACAGGUGGUCAGGUAGAGAAUACCAAGGCGCUUGAGAGAACUCGGGUGAAGGAACUAGGCAAAAUGGUGCCGUAACUUCGGGAGAAGGCACGCUGAUAUGUAGGUGAAGUCCCUCGCGGAUGGAGCUGAAAUCAGUGAAGAUACCAGCUGGCUGCAACUGUUUAUUAAAAACACAGCACUGUGCAAACACGAAAGUGGACGUAUACGGUGUGACGCCUGCCCGGUGCCGGAAGGUUAAUUGAUGGGGUCAGCGCAAGCGAAGCUCUUGAUCGAAGCCCCGGUAAACGGCGGCCGUAACUAUAACGGUCCUAAGGUAGCGAAAUUCCUUGUCGGGUAAGUUCCGACCUGCACGAAUGGCGUAAUGAUGGCCAGGCUGUCUCCACCCGAGACUCAGUGAAAUUGAACUCGCUGUGAAGAUGCAGUGUACCCGCGGCAAGACGGAAAGACCCCGUGAACCUUUACUAUAGCUUGACACUGAACAUUGAGCCUUGAUGUGUAGGAUAGGUGGGAGGCUUUGAAGUGUGGACGCCAGUCUGCAUGGAGCCGACCUUGAAAUACCACCCUUUAAUGUUUGAUGUUCUAACGUGGACCCGUGAUCCGGGUUGCGGACAGUGUCUGGUGGGUAGUUUGACUGGGGCGGUCUCCUCCUAAAGAGUAACGGAGGAGCACGAAGGUUGGCUAAUCCUGGUCGGACAUCAGGAGGUUAGUGCAAUGGCAUAAGCCAGCUUGACUGCGAGCGUGACGGCGCGAGCAGGUGCGAAAGCAGGUCAUAGUGAUCCGGUGGUUCUGAAUGGAAGGGCCAUCGCUCAACGGAUAAAAGGUACUCCGGGGAUAACAGGCUGAUACCGCCCAAGAGUUCAUAUCGACGGCGGUGUUUGGCACCUCGAUGUCGGCUCAUCACAUCCUGGGGCUGAAGUAGGUCCCAAGGGUAUGGCUGUUCGCCAUUUAAAGUGGUACGCGAGCUGGGUUUAGAACGUCGUGAGACAGUUCGGUCCCUAUCUGCCGUGGGCGCUGGAGAACUGAGGGGGGCUGCUCCUAGUACGAGAGGACCGGAGUGGACGCAUCACUGGUGUUCGGGUUGUCAUGCCAAUGGCACUGCCCGGUAGCUAAAUGCGGAAGAGAUAAGUGCUGAAAGCAUCUAAGCACGAAACUUGCCCCGAGAUGAGUUCUCCCUGACCCUUUAAGGGUCCUGAAGGAACGUUGAAGACGACGACGUUGAUAGGCCGGGUGUGUAAGCGCAGCGAUGCGUUGAGCUAACCGGUACUAAUGAACCGUGAGGCUUAACCUU
This 2901-nucleotide ribosomal RNA is filed under the name Escherichia coli DEC4F. RNAcentral's name for it is "bacterial LSU rRNA". It matches the Rfam family "Bacterial large subunit ribosomal RNA". Lineage: Bacteria; Pseudomonadati; Pseudomonadota; Gammaproteobacteria; Enterobacterales; Enterobacteriaceae. The record is from RNAcentral.